ACUCCUACGGGAGGCAGCAGUGGGGAAUAUUGCACAAUGGGCGCAAGCCUGAUGCAGCGACGCCGCGUGAGGGAUGAAGGCCUUCGGGUUGUAAACCUCUUUCAGCAGGGAAGAAGCGCAAGUGACGGUACCUGCAGAAGAAGCGCCGGCUAACUACGUGCCAGCAGCCGCGGUAAU
RNAcentral lists this ribosomal RNA (177 nucleotides) under uncultured bacterium. RNAcentral's name for it is "partial 16S ribosomal RNA". It matches the Rfam family "Bacterial small subunit ribosomal RNA", at positions 335 to 524 of the family's 1533-position model. The record is from RNAcentral.